Oreochromis aureus is the source of this 1413-nucleotide long non-coding RNA. RefSeq lists it as uncharacterized. The record is from RefSeq and is a predicted model, not a curated record. NCBI's taxonomy places the organism in Eukaryota, Metazoa, Chordata, Actinopteri, Cichliformes, Cichlidae. The transcript has 3 exons.
UGGUUUAUUGUGCCUAAACUGAAGUGUGACUCUGGGGUGAACAAAGGCCAAAAUUACAAACAAAGCAAGCUUAAACAGUUGGGGAGGUGCUACCUAAACCCUAUGUGAUAAAAAAAAAAAAAAACUAAAUCAAACAAAAUGCAAAUGCUACACCUAGCUCUCUAACUGGAUAAACAGGAGAAAACAAGAAAUAACAAGGCAGCUCCCCCCUUCUGCUUCAGUGACUAUUUACACAUGAAUCUAACUGUACAUUAUAUACAAAUGGAGACAUUCUUCAGAAAACACACACAAAAUGUCAAAGGAUUUGGAGGCCAAGGAUGGGUCUGCUGCUGCUGUCAGUGGCUGCCACAGGACAACUGCUGGUGAGGGAUUUUCAAAGCAAUCACAAGAUCAGGGGACCAAUCAGCAGCCGCCAGCUCUCCAAUGAGGAAGGACCUGUGGACUCCUAAAGACACAGACAGAAACAAGAGACAACCCCUAGGACUCCAGUCUCGGCCAGGGCCGUAACAAACCUAAAAGGGUUGGCAUAGUAAAAAAAAACAAAAAAACAAUUGCCAUGUCUUUUCCUACAAUUCUCAGAAUAAUUUAUAGACAGAGUUGGGAAGAUUACUUUUAAAAUGUAUUCCACUACAGAAUACAUGCCCCAAAAUGUAUUUUGUAAUGUAUUCCAUUACGUUACUCAAUGAGAGUAAUGUAUUAUUGUCAUGGUCUGGGCGAGCCUAAGUAACUUUCCUCAGCAUCAGCUCUCCUCCUCUGGGUGGAGCCCUUCCUGCCCCUCCCCGUUCCUCAGCUGCAGGCAAUUAUUCUGGCAGUAUUUAGGAGCAGCGCACACUAUGAGUCUUCGCCAGAUCGUCUGCUAACCUCAUCGGUACCUGGACUCAUCAUUCCAAAACCUGCCAUAGCUUCGUUCCUGGAUUCCGGUCAGCUGCUGCUUAAUCCUUUUCAGACAAACUGCCACUCACACCUGCCUGCCUCCCUGCAUACCUGUAUUGGACUCAGCACUCGCCUGGACCUCACCUCGCCUCCACCUUCAGCUAAUCCCCGCCUGCGAACACUGCCCUGGUCUGCCACAGCUUCCACCAGCCCCACUCCAGUUUCAGCAGUUUAGUGACCUGACUGUUCCAUGCUCGCCCUAGCCCCGCACCUCACAGACACCACGCUUUUGCACUAAGUUUAAUCUUGUUUUCUGUCUUAAAUAUUUAUGUUAGGAACACGUGUAAAUAAAAGUUUUUGUUUUCGCAAAUCACUUCGAGCUUCCGGUCUUUGGUUCUGCGCCUGAGUCCAUUCCACGCCACGGGCCUCUGAGCUAUGACAAUUAUGAAUACUUUGGAUUACUUAAUAUAUUAUCAUGCUUUUUGCAACUACAUUGAUGAACUAUUGCUGUGUGAUUUAUUACUAUUACUGAAGGCUACU